CCCGCGGGCUAUCUGCAGUCGAGCGGACAGAUGGGAGCUUGCUCCCUGAUGUUAGCGGCGGACGGGUGAGUAACACGUGGGUAACCUGCCUGUAAGACUGGGAUAACUCCGGGAAACCGGGGCUAAUACCGGAUGGUUGUUUGAACCGCAUGGUUCAAACAUAAAAGGUGGCUUCGGCUACCACUUACAGAUGGACCCGCGGCGCAUUAGCUAGUUGGUGAGGUAAUGGCUCACCAAGGCAACGAUGCGUAGCCGACCUGAGAGGGUGAUCGGCCACACUGGGACUGAGACACGGCCCAGACUCCUACGGGAGGCAGCAGUAGGGAAUCUUCCGCAAUGGACGAAAGUCUGACGGAGCAACGCCGCGUGAGUGAUGAAGGUUUUCGGAUCGUAAAGCUCUGUUGUUAGGGAAAACAAAGGAAACCGGUAA
RNAcentral lists this ribosomal RNA (430 nucleotides) under Bacillus subtilis. RNAcentral's name for it is "bacterial SSU rRNA". It matches the Rfam family "Bacterial small subunit ribosomal RNA", at positions 43 to 464 of the family's 1533-position model. The record is from RNAcentral. Lineage: Bacteria; Bacillati; Bacillota; Bacilli; Caryophanales; Bacillaceae.